UUUGAGUGAGUGGCGGACGGGUGAGUAACACGUGGGUAACCUGCCCUAAAGUGGGGGAUAACAUUUGGAAACAGAUGCUAAUACCGCAUAAAACCUAGCACCGCAUGGUGCAAGGUUGAAAGAUGGUUUCGGCUAUCACUUUAGGAUGGACCCGCGGUGCAUUAGUUAGUUGGUGAGGUAAAGGCUCACCAAGACCGUGAUGCAUAGCCGACCUGAGAGGGUAAUCGGCCACACUGGGACUGAGACACGGCCCAGACUCCUACGGGAGGCAGCAGUAGGGAAUCUUCCACAAUGGACGAAAGUCUGAUGGAGCAACGCCGCGUGAGUGAAGAAGGUUUUCGGAUCGUAAAACUCUGUUGUUGGAGAAGAACGUAUUUGAUAGUAACUGAUCAGGUAGUGACGGUAUCCAACCAGAAAGCCACGGCUAACUACGUGCCAGCAGCCGCGGUAAUACGUAGGUGGCAAGCGUUGUCCGGAUUUAUUGGGCGUAAAGCGAGCGCAGGCGGUUUCUUAAGUCUGAUGUGAAAGCCUUCGGCUCAACCGAAGAAGUGCAUCGGAAACUGGGAAACUUGAGUGCAGAAGAGGACAGUGGAACUCCAUGUGUAGCGGUGAAAUGCGUAGAUAUAUGGAAGAACACCAGUGGCGAAGGCGGCUGUCUGGUCUGUAACUGACGCUGAGGCUCGAAAGCAUGGGUAGCAAACAGGAUUAGAUACCCUGGUAGUCCAUGCCGUAAACGAUGAGUGCUAGGUGUUGGAGGGUUUCCGCCCUUCAGUGCCGCAGCUAACGCAUUAAGCACUCCGCCUGGGGAGUACGACCGCAAGGUUGAAACUCAAAGGAAUUGACGGGGGCCCGCACAAGCGGUGGAGCAUGUGGUUUAAUUCGAAGCAACGCGAAGAACCUUACCAGGUCUUGACAUCCUUUGACCACUCUAGAGAUAGAGCUUUCCCUUCGAGGACAAAGUGACAGGUGGUGCAUGGUUGUCGUCAGCUCGUGUCGUGAGAUGUUGGGUUANGUCCCGCAACGAGCGCACCCUUAUUACUAGUUGCCAGCAUUUAGUUGGGCACUCUAGUGAGACUGCCGGUGACAAACCGGAAGAAGGUGGGGACGACGUCAAUCUUCUGCCCCUUAUGACUGGGCUACC
This 1141-nucleotide ribosomal RNA is filed under the name Latilactobacillus curvatus. Its description in RNAcentral is "bacterial SSU rRNA". It matches the Rfam family "Bacterial small subunit ribosomal RNA", at positions 86 to 1218 of the family's 1533-position model. The record is from RNAcentral. Lineage: Bacteria; Bacillati; Bacillota; Bacilli; Lactobacillales; Lactobacillaceae.